AGUUUGAUCAUGGCUCAGAUUGAACGCUGGCGGCAUGCCUUACACAUGCAAGUCGAACGGUAACAGGUCUUCGGAUGCUGACGAGUGGCGAACGGGUGAGUAAUACAUCGGAACGUGCCCGAUCGUGGGGGAUAACGAAGCGAAAGCUUUGCUAAUACCGCAUAAGAUCUACGGAUGAAAGCAGGGGACCGCAAGGCCUUGCGCGAACGGAGCGGCCGAUGGCAGAUUAGGUAGUUGGUGGGAUAAAAGCUUACCAAGCCGACGAUCUGUAGCUGGUCUGUAGAGGACGACCAGCCACACUGGGACUGAGACACGGCCCAGACUCCUACGGGAGGCAGCAGUGGGGAAUUUUGGACAAUGGGCGAAAGCCUGAUCCAGCCAUGCCGCGUGCAGGAUGAAGGCCUUGGG
RNAcentral lists this ribosomal RNA (408 nucleotides) under uncultured microorganism. RNAcentral's name for it is "bacterial SSU rRNA". It matches the Rfam family "Bacterial small subunit ribosomal RNA", at positions 10 to 421 of the family's 1533-position model. The record is from RNAcentral.